Macrobrachium nipponense is the source of this 605-nucleotide long non-coding RNA. RefSeq lists it as uncharacterized. The transcript has 4 exons. NCBI's taxonomy places the organism in Eukaryota, Metazoa, Arthropoda, Malacostraca, Decapoda, Palaemonidae. The record is from RefSeq and is a predicted model, not a curated record.
UUGUGUGCUGGCUUUGCGAAAGGACUGCAUGUGACUUAAGGCACAAAUUGAUGCUGGUUUUGAUACUUUUAUGGCCAAGAACAACUCCCAGAUUUAUCUUGCACGGACACUUUCAUUAGCCUAUGUUAUUCAAGUUGUCAUCACCUGGUUUGAGGAUUCCAUCAAAGAGGCAGAUUUGAGCUUGCAGCCUGUUCUAUACAGAAUGUGUCUCUCUUUGGACUUUCACAGCUAGAGAAAUACAUCCCUCAGUUGUUUGAAGGUGGCCUUGUUAAAGAUGGAACAUUUGUUUCCAUGGUUCAUCACCACAUAAAGAGGUUGUGUGCUGAAAUGUUGAAGGAUGCUGUUGCUUUGGUGGAUGCCUUUGCCCCUCCUGACUUCAUCCUACGGUCUGCUCUUGGAAAUGCAGAUGGAGAGGUUUAUCAGCAUUUAAAAACUACGAUGUUCUCUGCUCCUGGUGCUAUGUCUCGUCCAAAACACUGGAAAGAGAUGAGAUACAAUGUCCCUUCAUCAAAGCUGUAGUAAAAAGAUAAUUUGAGAGGAAUUCCAAACUUGGUGCUGUAUUUUAGUCACAAUUUAGUAGUGUUGGUACUGUAGUUCAAUAUAUA